Molecule: long non-coding RNA, 1210 nt
Organism: Cannabis sativa
Lineage: Eukaryota; Viridiplantae; Streptophyta; Magnoliopsida; Rosales; Cannabaceae
Exons: 5
Source: RefSeq, a predicted model, not a curated record
UGACCUAAUUUAAACCUAAUUUAAAAGAUUAGGGUUUGUAAAAAAAAUGAAGUCUCCUAAACUGCUUUCUCUCUCCCCUUCGUUCCGCCUUUUACUCUCUAGUCUCUCGCUCUCCUUCUUCGCGUAGCCCUCCUGCUCAGCUCACUUGGGUCGUCUCCGGCCACCAGCCACAACGUAGCAUCCCGAGAUUACCGCAGCUCCGUUUCCAUCUUCCCUCUCUUCUCGGCGGCCUGCGAAUCAGGGGCGGAAUGCUCCGCUUGUUGUCCUUCGCGCGAUCACUCUGUCCAGCCUCGACGCACCGUUUCCGGCCGCAGACGGUGGAUACCGACCCCACCUGUGGUCUCGCGAACCCCACGAACCCCACGAACCCCCCAACAUCCCGAGUCCCCAACCUCCGUUAAGCCGUGCUGCCGAAAUACUCUGAUGAGCUCUGAGGCAUUCAUGGAGGGAAACGGCAGCUUGAUGGUCUCUUCUAUUUUGGAUAUCCUUCCGUCCUUUCGUCCUUUCGAGAAGAACCAAUUCCAUUGUUUUGAAUCCUAUGGAGCGUAAAUUUGUAGUCUUAGCAGCAUCUGUUGUUGGAGAAAGGGUUGUGACUUGUGUAGUUACACGCUGCACUUGAGCGUGCUGACAGAAACAUUCCUCCAUAGACGUUUAUCAUCAACAAGGUACAAAAAUAAACAAAAAUAAAAAAGUAAACUUUCUUUUUUCAAAAACACGGUCUCUACAUAAGACUUUUCCAAAAUAGUUUCUCCCAAAAGUUUUAGAUCUGAAAUCAACAUGAACAUGAAUCACCUCCAAAAAAUCCUAGAUCUCCUCCAUAAUCGACGUAUUCUCCAAACAACACCACUAAAGAUGUAGAAGUUUUUGUCGAACACCAUGAACGCCGGUGGAAAGUUUUUUGUCGAUCACCAUUAACGCCGGUAAGAAAUUUUGAUUCGAUAUUCAGUUAUGGCAGCGCGACCAACGAUCAGAGAUCUCUAUGAGAAGCCAACAAAAAAAGAUCAACAACUGAGAGGAGAUGCCCAUGAACAUUUACCCAAAAAGAUUGGGUUUUUCUUUACUUUCUUUUUUCUUUUUAGAAAAAUAAUAAAUCUGAUAUUAUUAAUUGUGUUUACUUUAAUUGUUUUCUAAUCUAUUAUUAUUAAUGUUAUUGAGUUGAUUCACAUAUAUUAGUUGUUUUUGUUAAUAUAUUGUUAUUGUUUUUCGGUGU